UUCCCAGACUCCUACGGGAGGCAGCAGUGGGGAAUAUUGCACAAUGGGGGGAACCCUGAUGCAGCGACGCCGCGUGGGUGAAGGAGCACCUCGGUGCGUAAAGCCCUAUCGGCAGGGAAGAAAAGCGAACAGGUUCGCCUGGACGGUACCUGACUAAGAAGCCCCGGCUAACUCCGUGCCAGCAGCCGCGGUAAUACGGAGGAUGCGAGCGUUAUCCGGAUUUAUUGGGUUUAAAGGGCGCGCAGGCGGCACGGCAAGCCGGCGGUCAAAUCGCGGGGCUCAACCCCGCCCAGCCGUCGGAACUGCCGGGCUAGAGUGGGCGAGAAGUGCGCGGAAUGCGUGGUGUAGCGGUGAAAUGCAUAGAUAUCACGCAGAACUCCGAUUGCGAAGGCAGCGCACCGGCGCCCUACUGACGCUCAGGCACGAAGGCGUGGGUAUCGAACAGGAUUAGAUACCCUGGUAC
RNAcentral lists this ribosomal RNA (463 nucleotides) under uncultured bacterium. Its description in RNAcentral is "bacterial SSU rRNA". It matches the Rfam family "Bacterial small subunit ribosomal RNA", at positions 328 to 793 of the family's 1533-position model. The record is from RNAcentral.